Molecule: unclassified non-coding RNA, 436 nt
Filed under: uncultured Tomentella
Lineage: Eukaryota; Fungi; Basidiomycota; Agaricomycetes; Thelephorales; Thelephoraceae
Description: sequence contains ITS2
Rfam family: 5.8S ribosomal RNA (bases 1-155)
Source: RNAcentral
AACUUUCAGCAACGGAUCACUUGGCUCUCGCAUCGAUGAAGAACGCAGCGAAAUGCGAUAAGUAAUGUGAAUUGCAGAAUUCAGUGAAUCAUCUAAUCUUUGAACGCACCUUGCGCCCCUUGGCUAUUCCGAGGGUCAUGCCUGUUUGAGUAUCAUGAACACCUCAACUCUCAUGGUUUGCUGGGAUGAGCGUGGACUCUGGGGGUUUUGCUGGCCUGUGGUCAGCUCCCCUCAAAUGAAUCAGCCUCCCAGUGUUUGGUGGCAUCACGGGUGUGAUAAAUAUCUCUGCUCGCGGUUGUCUGCCAGGUAACCUUUGGUGACAAAGGUUUGCUGGAGCUCACAGAUGUCUCUCCUCAGCGAGGACAGCUUUUUGAACGUUCGAUCUCAAAUCAGGUAGGACUACCCGCUGAACUUAAGCAUAUCAAUAAGCGGAGGC